AGAAAGGAAACACGUGAGAGAGAGAGAGAGAGAGAGGAAGAAGAAAGGAGAAAGAGAGGGAGUUAGGCUCGGAUCUAGGAGUCUUUGUGACCGUUGCGAGCUCGGCUACACGAUAGAAAAUUGUUGGUGGAACUUAUUGAGAAGUAAGGAACAAGCCGAGCCCUAUUUUGUACAAGGGGAACCCUUUUAGUACCAAAGGGUUGAGGUCCAGGCGAAGGAUCCAGUGGUGGACGGGGAAAAGAGCAAAGCUAGGGGUUUGCUUGUGAUUUGUAAAGAACUGCAACCCCUUUCUUUUGAGCAAAUAUAUUGUAAUGUAUUUAAGAUUAGGGUGCCAGUAGGAUAUGAUUAUGUGUGUGUAUGUGAAUAUGUGUGGAUUGUGUGCUUGUGUAUGAAUUUUUGUCUAUUUGCAGACUUGUGGCUAGGAAACUUGGUUAUGGUGUGUGGUUUUGAUGGAUUUACUUAGUAGACCAAGUUUCUAUUACAAGCAGAUCUUUGUUUUGUUAUAUAUGUGAUUUUAUAAGCAAAUGCAAAGUGGUUGCAUUGCAAAUGGUGUGCUAUGGGCAAACAUACACCUUGGAUAGAGAGAGGGGGUGCGUGGGCCCCACAAGGAGCUCUGAGCCAAGUGAAAAUGUUUAGCAUAUGUAUUUAUAUAAAUACAUGGUAUUUGGAUUGAUUUGUGACCACUCUUGUAUGAUUUGUGUAUUUUGGGGGUUUAGGGUCCAUUUUGGGAAAUGGCACCCGGGUGGUCAAAUUUUGAUGUAUGGGGGUUUUCCAUCAUUUGAAUGUUCUAUCAAGUGUUUUUAAUCUUAUUUGACGUGUUCAAAGUGUUUCCACAGGUUUGUGACCAUUAGGAUGGGAUUUGGACAAUUUUGAAAAUGGUUUUUACCAAAAAGCUGCACUUUUGCAUCCGGGUGUCCAAAUCUUAA
This is a long non-coding RNA of Prosopis cineraria, 926 nucleotides long. RefSeq lists it as uncharacterized. The record is from RefSeq and is a predicted model, not a curated record. The transcript has 3 exons. NCBI's taxonomy places the organism in Eukaryota, Viridiplantae, Streptophyta, Magnoliopsida, Fabales, Fabaceae.